AUUGAACGCUGGCGGCAGGCCUAACACAUGCAAGUCGAGCGGAUGAAGGGAGCUUGCUCCUGGAUUCAGCGGCGGACGGGUGAAUAAUGCCUAGGAAUCUGCCUGGUAGUGGGGGAUAACGUCCGGACACGGGCGCUAAUCCCGCAUACGUCCUGAGGGAGAAAGUGGGGGAUCUUCGGACCUCACGCUAUCAGAUGAGCCUAGGUCGGUUUAGCUAGUUGGUGGGGUAAAGGCCUACCAAGGCGACGAUCCGCAACUGGUCUGAGAGGAUGAUCAGGCACACUGGAACUGAGACACGGUCCAGACUCCUACGGGAGGCAGCAGUGGGGAAUAGGGGACAAGGGGCGAAAGCCUGAUGCAGCCGGGCCGCGGGUGUGAAGAAGGUCGUCGGAUGGUAAAGCACUUUAAGUUGGGAGGAAGGGGAGUAAGUUAAUACAUUGCUGUUGUGACGUUACCAACAGAAUAAGCACCGGCUAACUUCGUG
This 484-nucleotide ribosomal RNA is filed under the name uncultured bacterium. RNAcentral's name for it is "partial 16S ribosomal RNA". It matches the Rfam family "Bacterial small subunit ribosomal RNA", at positions 29 to 507 of the family's 1533-position model. The record is from RNAcentral.